CAGCAGCUCGUCUCAAGAACUUCCCCUCGUUACCUUGGGUGGAGCACGGCAAACGGGAUAGAAUGCGGAAACGUGGGCCACCCUCGCUUGGCUUCUCAGAGAACAGGUUUGAUGUCAAUUUCUGUCAAAUGUUUCCCUCGUGUUGAAACAAUGGCAGCAAGAGCGCCACAGCGUCGUCAGCCAUUGAGGUCACGGACGCUGUGAAAGAAAGGGACGGAGGUGAGCCAUUUGACACUGUGUAUGGUGGAUGCGGCCCCGACUGCAUGCUGCAACUUCGACAUGGAGCUUCAGAUAGUCCUGAAGGUAAGAAACAGGAAGUAGGGCAACCGUGGUUCCUGCUAAGUGCUGAUUCCCUUUUGCCUCCAAUUCCCAAUUUGCCACAACAUCUUUCUCUACCUUACCCAACCCCUCUUUUUUUAAUGCUCAUGCUAAGCUCUUUCUCUAGUGCGUUUGGCAAAGGGUGUGUGAGGAAGAACCGAAGAUGCAUUAUAUAUGACCACAGUAACAGAAAUUUGGUAGCUGGAUGCAGUUAGAAUCGACAGUUGGCAGUGGGGGAGGUUGUUGGCAGCAGAGUAAAAUUUUAAAGAAAAAAGGGAGACUAACAUAAAAGAACAGACACCAGAGCAAGAGCAUGGCCUAUGGGCCCCCUUUUGAUACAUUUUCUCUGGUUCCCAAAGUGUUUAAUUUCUAAUAAAGAUGUCUACCACGCGUUCCUUGUCAAAAGCGUACAAGAGGUCCAUCAUAGACCAAUGCCAGGUUGGAUUAGCUUCAGUGCACAAAUCCAACAGAUUUUGAAUUUGUCCUAACUCAAACUAUCUAAAGUUUGACAUAGCUUACAUAGAGGCGUAUUAUAACAUAUACAACAUCAAAAAUAAAACUAUAAAAAUA
This 888-nucleotide long non-coding RNA is filed under the name Setaria viridis. RNAcentral's name for it is "long non-coding RNA (SVIR_LNC008684)". Lineage: Eukaryota; Viridiplantae; Streptophyta; Magnoliopsida; Poales; Poaceae. The record is from RNAcentral.